CCUACGGGUGGCAGCAGUGAGGAAUAUUGGUCAAUGGUCGGGAGACUGAACCAGCCAAGUCGCGUGAGGGAGGAAGGUCCAGUGUAUUGUAAACCUCUUUUGCCGGGGAACAAACACCGGUACGUGUCCCCCGUCGAGUGUACCCGAAGAAAAAGCAUCGGCUAACUCCGUGCCAGCAGCCGCGGUAAUACGGGGGAUGCGAGCGUUAUCCGGAUUUAUUGGGUUUAAAGGGUGCGCAGGCGGCCUGUUAAGUCAGCGGUAAAAUCUCGGGGCUCAACCCCGGCGAGCCGUUGAAACUGGCAGGCGAGAGUGGGAGAGAAGUAUGCGGAAUGCGUGGUGUAGCGGUGAAAUGCAUAGAUAUCGCGCAGAACUCCGAUUGCGAAGGCAGCAUGCCGGCUCCAAACUGACGCUGAGGCACGAAAGCGUGGGUAUCGAACAGGAUUAGAUACCCGGGUAGUC
RNAcentral lists this ribosomal RNA (459 nucleotides) under uncultured bacterium. RNAcentral's name for it is "partial 16S ribosomal RNA". It matches the Rfam family "Bacterial small subunit ribosomal RNA", at positions 338 to 795 of the family's 1533-position model. The record is from RNAcentral.